UUUUUAGAUUUAUCACUCAACUAUGAGAAAUUUGACUUUCAAUAUGUAGAUCUGUGCUUUUGUGAUCUUCACCCAACCAAAGGAACAUUCCACUGACAGUCCCAUAGCUGACGUGAAGGACAAAAGGACUCAGUGCACGGACACAGCACAGCCAUUAGAUAACUUGGACAGAGCCUGGAGCUGCUUUGG
Molecule: non-coding RNA, 189 nt
Organism: Miniopterus natalensis
Lineage: Eukaryota; Metazoa; Chordata; Mammalia; Chiroptera; Miniopteridae
Source: RefSeq, a predicted model, not a curated record